UGGCAGAAUUGGACUACUUUGUCCAGAUUGUUCUGGCUUGAGUGUGCAAAGCUCAAGAGCUGUUGGGUCGUGGAGACUUGUACCAACAUCCCAGGAAACAGUUGUGAAGGACAGGCAAUGCAGAGGAAGAUCACAUUCUGAAUGUGGAGCUAUAAAGAAGCCCAGUUUGCAACAGAGACCCUGGGAUGUUCUACAUAUCAGGAAAAGGGACCAUCUUUUAAAAGAUACAGGCAGGGCCGGAGAGAUAGCUCAUUGGUUAAGAGCACCAGCUGCUCCUGUACAAAGGACCCAGGUUCAAUUCUCAGUACCCACAUAGCUGCUUACUAAUAUAACGCCAGUUCCAGGUGAUCAAUGGUACCAGGCAUGUACGAGGUGCACAUAUAGGUAAAACACCCAUAUACAUAAAAUAAAAA
RNAcentral lists this long non-coding RNA (413 nucleotides) under Rattus norvegicus (Norway rat). Its description in RNAcentral is "long non-coding RNA NONRATT003268". Lineage: Eukaryota; Metazoa; Chordata; Mammalia; Rodentia; Muridae. The record is from RNAcentral.